This 235-nucleotide ribosomal RNA is filed under the name uncultured bacterium. RNAcentral describes it as "partial 16S ribosomal RNA". It matches the Rfam family "Bacterial small subunit ribosomal RNA", at positions 96 to 334 of the family's 1533-position model. The record is from RNAcentral.
UGGCGGACGGGUGAGUAAUGUCUGGGAAACUGCCCGAUGGAGGGGGAUAACUACUGGAAACGGUAGCUAAUACCGCAUAACGUCGCAAGACCAAAGAGGGGGACCUUCGGGCCUCUUGCCAUCGGAUGUGUCCAGAUGGGAUUAGCUAGUAGGUGGGGUAACGGCUCACCUAGGCGACGAUCCCUAGCUGGUCUGAGAGGAUGACCAGCCACACUGGAACUGAGACACGGUCCAG